GAUGAACGCUGGCGGCGUGCCUAAUACAUGCAAGUCGAGCGAACAGACGAGGAGCUUGCUCCUCUGACGUUAGCGGCGGACGGGUGAGUAACACGUGGAUAACCUACCUAUAAGACUGGGAUAACUUCGGGAAACCGGAGCUAAUACCGGAUAAUAUAUUGAACCGCAUGGUUCAAUAGUGAAAGACGGUUUUGCUGUCACUUAUAGAUGGAUCCGCGCCGCAUUAGCUAGUUGGUAAGGUAACGGCUUACCAAGGCAACGAUGCGUAGCCGACCUGAGAGGGUGAACCGGCAAAACGGAAACGAAAAACGGUUCAGACUCCUACGGGAGGCAGCAGUAGGGAAUCUUCCGCAAUGGGCGAAAGCCUGACGGAGCAACGCCGCGUGAGUGAUGAAGGUCUUCGGAUCGUAAAACUCUGUUAUUAGGGAAGAACAAAUGUGUAAGUAACUAUGCACGUCUUGACGGUACCUAAUCAGAAAGCCACGGCUAACUACGUG
This 497-nucleotide ribosomal RNA is filed under the name uncultured bacterium. RNAcentral's name for it is "partial 16S ribosomal RNA". It matches the Rfam family "Bacterial small subunit ribosomal RNA", at positions 28 to 507 of the family's 1533-position model. The record is from RNAcentral.